Non-coding RNA from Paramuricea clavata, 827 nucleotides. Lineage: Eukaryota; Metazoa; Cnidaria; Anthozoa; Malacalcyonacea; Plexauridae. The record is from the annotation of a GenBank genome assembly.
GAUUUGUGUCUGAACCAUAGAUAUAAUAAAUAGACUAGAUAGUGCAUCCCGCUGGGCAGGCGGGAAUUUUUGAAGCCUGAUCGUGGUCGCAGCAUCACCACUGGCGGCCAUAUUGGAUCUUCCCAGGAGCGAGGAAAUUUGUAUGUUUUAUUAUGGCGAAAUUAACAACUCUGCAAGUAUAUUCAUAUUUGGAACGACGAGUUUGAUGUUUUGAGCAGGGAAAGUUGUUGUGGAGUAUCGCGAAUUGUAAGGGAACAUAAAAAAUAGAAAGGGUAAGUACAAAUCAUAUAUAUUUCCCAAAAAUAAUACUUACGUUAUGUAUCCAGGAGUGGCCAGAUAGCAAUAUUUUUAAACUAAAAGUUUCUCGUAUGCAUUUUCGAUAAGAUUUGUCCCCAUUACUGUACGUAUAGCUUUUUAUACGUAUUAGUAUUACACAAAGCGAAAUCUUGUAGUAAUCCGUAUAAUUCAUAGAUAUCUCUGUGGUAUGAUUAGCCAGAUUAGGGAUGAAAACUCGUAUCUCAAUUGACACAAUAGCCACUUUCAAGGACAAAUGUGCUAGUUUCGUCCAUAGAUAUAAUAGUUUCGACAUGUCCAUGCCGAGGUCCAUGCAUGAUUUUGAUUUUCUUGCAUAUUUUCUAUACAUGUUUGUAUUGGGCUGGAAAUAUAUUUUGUGUUAUUUUACUGCAAUUAUAUUUUAUUGACAGUACUUACAUUGUCUUCUAUAGUGUCUUGGUAGGCAAGCCAGUAUUAUUAACAUUUAGUUGAAGCAAGAAUGGAAUCAAGAUAAAGGCCUUUAAAGGAUUAUACAUAAUUAUAGUAUCACUGUG